GACAGAGGGUGCAAGCGUUGUUCGGAAUCAUUGGGCGUAAAGCGCACGUAGGCGGUCGUGUAAGUCAGACGUGAAAGCCCAGGGCUCAACCCUGGAAGUGCAUCUGAUACUGCACGACUUGAGUCUCGGAGAGGGUGGUGGAAUUCCUGGUGUAGAGGUGAAAUUCGUAGAUAUCAGGAGGAACACCGGUGGCGAAGGCGACCACCUGGACGAAGACUGACGCUGAGGUGCGAAAGCGUGGGGAGCAAACAGG
This 253-nucleotide ribosomal RNA is filed under the name uncultured bacterium. Its description in RNAcentral is "partial 16S ribosomal RNA". It matches the Rfam family "Bacterial small subunit ribosomal RNA", at positions 524 to 776 of the family's 1533-position model. The record is from RNAcentral.